RNAcentral lists this ribosomal RNA (586 nucleotides) under uncultured bacterium. RNAcentral's name for it is "partial 16S ribosomal RNA". It matches the Rfam family "Bacterial small subunit ribosomal RNA", at positions 355 to 935 of the family's 1533-position model. The record is from RNAcentral.
UGGGGAAUUUUGGACAAUGGGCGAAAGCCUGAUCCAGCAAUGCCGCGUGUGUGAAGAAGGCCUUCGGGUUGUAAAGCACUUUUGUCCGGAAAGAAAUCCUUGGCUCUAAUACAGUCGGGGGAUGACGGUACCGGAAGAAUAAGCACCGGCUAACUACGUGCCAGCAGCCGCGGUAAUACGUAGGGUGCAAGCGUUAAUCGGAAUUACUGGGCGUAAAGCGUGCGCAGGCGGUUUGCUAAGACCGAUGUGAAAUCCCCGGGCUCAACCUGGGAACUGCAUUGGUGACUGGCAGGCUAGAGUAUGGCAGAGGGGGGUAGAAUUCCACGUGUAGCAGUGAAAUGCGUAGAGAUGUGGAGGAAUACCGAUGGCGAAGGCAGCCCCCUGGGCCAAUACUGACGCUCAUGCACGAAAGCGUGGGGAGCAAACAGGAUUAGAUACCCUGGUAGUCCACGCCCUAAACGAUGUCAACUAGUUGUUGGGGAUUCAUUUCCUUAGUAACGUAGCUAACGCGUGAAGUUGACCGCCUGGGGAGUACGGUCGCAAGAUUAAAACUUAAAGGAAUUGACGGGGUCAUAGCUAGUUUCCU